GAUGAACGCUGGCGGCAGGCUUAACACAUGCAAGUCGAGCGGAAGAACGGUGCUUGUGUCUGGAUUCAGAGGAGGGCGGGGGAGAAAUGCCUAGGAAUCAGCCGCGCAGUGGGGGAGAAAGUCCUGAGACGGGCGCUAAUAAUGCAUACGAAGAGAGGGAGAAAGAGGGGGAUGUUUGGACCGCACGCGCUUAGAGGAGCUUAGGCCGGAUUAGCUAGUUGGUGGGGUGAAGGCCGACCAAGGCGAGGAUCCGUAACUGGUCUGAGAGGAUGAUCAGUCACACUGGAACUGCGACACGGUCCAGGCUCCUACGGGAGGCAGCAGUGGGGAAUAUUGGGCAAUGGGCGGGAACCUGGUCCAGCCGUGCCACGUGUGUGAAGAAGGUCUUCGGUUUGUAAAGCCCUUUUAGUUGGGAGGAAGGGCAGUAAGUUAAUACCUUGCUGUUUUGACGUUACCAACAGAAUAAGCACCGGCUAACUACGUG
RNAcentral lists this ribosomal RNA (484 nucleotides) under uncultured bacterium. RNAcentral's name for it is "partial 16S ribosomal RNA". It matches the Rfam family "Bacterial small subunit ribosomal RNA", at positions 28 to 507 of the family's 1533-position model. The record is from RNAcentral.